This 301-nucleotide ribosomal RNA is filed under the name uncultured bacterium. RNAcentral describes it as "partial 16S ribosomal RNA". It matches the Rfam family "Bacterial small subunit ribosomal RNA", at positions 509 to 808 of the family's 1533-position model. The record is from RNAcentral.
CAGCCGCCGCGGUAAUACGAAGGGUGCAAGCGUUACUCGGAAUUACUGGGCGUAAAGCGUGCGUAGGUGGUGGUUUAAGUCCGUUGUGAAAGCCCUGGGCUCAACCUGGGAAUUGCAGUGGAUACUGGGUCACUAGAGUGUGGUAGAGGAUAGUGGAAUUUCCGGUGUAGCAGUGAAAUGCGUAGAGAUCGGAAGGAACAUCUGUGGCGAAGGCGACUAUCUGGGCCAACACUGACACUGAGGCACGAAAGCGUGGGGAGCAAACAGGAUUAGAUACCCGGUAGUCCCUGUCUCUUAUACC